Molecule: long non-coding RNA, 1058 nt
Filed under: Canis lupus familiaris (dog)
Lineage: Eukaryota; Metazoa; Chordata; Mammalia; Carnivora; Canidae
Description: lncRNA (ENSCAFG00000050441.1)
Source: RNAcentral
GCCUGGCCCUUGCGGCCCGACCACGAGCCACCGCCUCCCGACCUUCCUCCGGGUCCACAUGGUCCCAUUAACCCCUUCCCGUCAUCACCCCAUCCCCCCGCUCCCCAGCUUCCCCAGAAUGCCGGCUCUCAGCGCUGCCUGGGUUCAGAGGUUCAGAGGCAGAGCCACGCAGGGACGUCGGUCUACUUGGCGUCGGGGACAUUGUCAAAGAUGAACUGACCCCUCACGAGGCAGGAUCAGAAGACUCGGGCGAGGGGACACCACAGAGCACCACCGCCUAAUCCUUGCCUCCCAUGUCACCCCAGCCCGUCUGGGCUCCCACCCACCCGGGCAUUUCAGGUGACCCUGCGGCCCGUGCGGAGGGUGGGGUGCAGCCCCGUGGGGCCCAGAGCGGGGCCGGGGUGCGUCAGGGUGGCGGGAUCCAUGUGCGUCCUCGAAGGAGCGUCUUGGGGGUUGUGUGAGGCGCGGACAGGGUCAGCAGGAAGGUUACAGGAGCCUUGGAGACGAUAAGGACGCAGCACCUCAUGUGGCCUCUGCAAGCUGUGCCGAGCUGUUCCCUGUCCCCCCUGCGAGCUGUCCCGAGCACUCCGUAUGUGUCAGUUCACGAUGCCCGUCACCCCCAGGAGGUGAGCACUGGUGUUACCCCCAGUUUACAGGCGAGGAGUUUGAGGCCCAGAGAACUGAACCUGGGAGGCCUGAGAACAAUCCAGAAGGGAAGCAAACACCUGAAAUGGGCCAUGGGCAGUGGGUGGGGCGGGGGACAAGGAAGAGGCGUGAGACACAAGGAACAUUCGGUCGCCAGCCAGGGACAGGAAGCUGGGCGUCCUGGGCUCCCGGUCGGGUCCCUGAGAGGCCGGUGACAGGACAGAUGAACGUUUCUGCAGGGGCUGGACAAUCUGGGGACCUUUGUGGGGCAUCCGGGCAGCUGCCCUGCAGAGGACUGGGCUUGCAGGUCUGGGGCCCAGGAGACCCAGGCCACCAAGGCAGGUGGGUCCUGUGGGGAUGGUGUGGACGGGAGGCAGGGCCAUGCCAGAGCCCACCGGGCGGCCCCACGGGAG